UACGUAGGGUGCAAGCGUUGUCCGGAAUUAUUGGGCGUAAAGAGCUUGUAGGCGGUUUGUCGCGUCUGCUGUGAAAUUUCGGGGCUCAACCCCGAACUUGCAGUGGGUACGGGCAGACUAGAGUGUGGUAGGGGAGACUGGAAUUCCUGGUGUAGCGGUGAAAUGCGCAGAUAUCAGGAGGAACACCGAUGGCGAAGGCAGGUCUCUGGGCCAAUACUGACGCUGAGAAGCGAAAGCAUGGGGAGCGAACAGG
This 253-nucleotide ribosomal RNA is filed under the name uncultured bacterium. RNAcentral describes it as "partial 16S ribosomal RNA". It matches the Rfam family "Bacterial small subunit ribosomal RNA", at positions 524 to 776 of the family's 1533-position model. The record is from RNAcentral.